This 199-nucleotide ribosomal RNA is filed under the name uncultured bacterium. RNAcentral describes it as "partial 16S ribosomal RNA". It matches the Rfam family "Bacterial small subunit ribosomal RNA", at positions 328 to 539 of the family's 1533-position model. The record is from RNAcentral.
ACGCUCGACACCUACGGGAGGUAGCAGUGGGGAAUAUUGCACAAUGGGGGAAACCCUGAUGCAGCGACGCCGCGUGAGCGAAGAAGUAUUUCGGUAUGUAAAGCUCUAUCAGCAGGAAAGAAGAAAGACGGUACCUGACUAAGAAGCCCCGGCUAACUACGUGCCAACAGCCGCGGUAAUCUGAGCGGGCUGGCAAGGC